This 313-nucleotide ribosomal RNA is filed under the name uncultured bacterium. RNAcentral's name for it is "bacterial SSU rRNA". It matches the Rfam family "Bacterial small subunit ribosomal RNA", at positions 28 to 334 of the family's 1533-position model. The record is from RNAcentral.
GACGAACGCUGGCGGCGCGCCUAACACAUGCAAGUCGAACGAGCGAGAGAGAGCUUGCUUUCUCGAGCGAGUGGCGAACGGGUGAGUAACGCGUGAGGGAACCUGCCUCAAAGAGGGGGACAACAGUUGGAAACGACUGCUAAUACCGGCAUAAGCCCACAGGUCGGCAUCGACCAGAGGGAAAAGGAGCAAUCCGCUUUGAGAUGGCCUCGCGUCCGAUUAGCUAGUUGGUGGGGUAACGGCCUACCAAGGCGACGAUCAGUAGCCGGCCUGAGAGGGUGAACGGCCACAUUGGGACUGAGACACGGCCCAA